UACGUAGGGGGCAAGCGUUGUCCGGAUUUAUUGGGCGUAAAGAGCGUGUAGGCGGCCAAGCAGGUCCGCUGUGAAAACUCGAGGCUUAACCUCGAGAUGUCAUCGGAAACCAUUUGGCUAGAGUCCGGAAGAGGAGAGUGGAAUUCCUGGUGUAGCGGUGAAAUGCGCAGAUAUCAGGAAGAACACCAAUGGCGAAAGCAGCUCUCUGGGACGGUACUGACGCUGAGACGCGAAAGCGUGGGGAGCGAACAGG
This 253-nucleotide ribosomal RNA is filed under the name uncultured bacterium. RNAcentral describes it as "partial 16S ribosomal RNA". It matches the Rfam family "Bacterial small subunit ribosomal RNA", at positions 524 to 776 of the family's 1533-position model. The record is from RNAcentral.